RNAcentral lists this ribosomal RNA (433 nucleotides) under uncultured bacterium. RNAcentral's name for it is "partial 16S ribosomal RNA". It matches the Rfam family "Bacterial small subunit ribosomal RNA", at positions 29 to 507 of the family's 1533-position model. The record is from RNAcentral.
AACGAACGCUGGCGGCAUGCCUAACACAUGCAAGUCGAACGAGACCUUCGGGUCUAGUUGCGCACGGGUGCGUCACGCGUGGGAACCUGCCCUUAUGUUCGGGAUAACUCCCUGAAAGGGGUGCUAAUGCCGGAUAAUUUCUUCGGACCCAAGAUUUAUCGCCCUUGGGUGAGCCCGGGUUGGUUUAGCUUGUUGGUAUGGAAAAAGCCUACCACGGCUACGCUCCAUAGCUGGGCUGAGAGACUGAGCAGACACACUGCGACGGAGACACGGCCGAGACUCUUACGGGAGGCAGCAGAGGGUGAUAUUGGACAAUGGGGGAAAGGAUGAUGCAGUUAUGCCGCGUGAGUGAUGAAGGUCUUAGGGUUGUAAAGCUCUUUUACCCGGGAUGAUAAUGACAGUACCGGGAGAAUAAGCACCGGCUAACUCCGUG